Long non-coding RNA from Sapajus apella (tufted capuchin), 5813 nucleotides. RefSeq lists it as uncharacterized. The record is from RefSeq and is a predicted model, not a curated record. NCBI's taxonomy places the organism in Eukaryota, Metazoa, Chordata, Mammalia, Primates, Cebidae. The transcript has 2 exons.
UUAAGAAAGUAUCAAUGAAGAUUUCUGGCAUGUAAAAUUAAAAAAAAUUAUUUUGUUAUAACCAGUUCAAAAGAUGCCAUUAUUUCAACCAUCUGUUGUGCUGUAAAUAUGUCCUUGUUUUAUAGCAGUAACCACUAAAUUAGCAUUGAGUAAAAUGAGUACCUUACUUGUGAUAUCUAGAGAUACCAUUGUAUUACAUAAUAUAUGCAAAGUUUUAAAAAUGCACUGUAAGUGUGUUUUCCUCCCCCUUCCCUUUUCCUCUAUCACCAUACCAAGGAAUCCAAAGAGAUUCCCUAGGCCAGAAUACUCCCUCAGUGUGUACAGUUAUUAUCGCUAUUAAACAGUGAGAUAACUGAAGUCCUGGACAAUUAAGUGAGACAUAAUGUCAAGUAACCUGUGCCUUUUAGUUUGGGUUUUCUACUGUAAUACUUUAUAUCAUGACCUCAUUUAACAUAAACAUAUCUACUUAAUGACACACUAAAUUAACCAAUAGUCUCCACUGUCUCCGUAAAGCAAGCCACUGCUCAGGGAAUACUCAAGAUAAAAUGUUAGCAGGCUACUUUGUUGUUGUCCCACUCAUCUAUGGAGAUGAAAGUUUAACAGGAGUAGUUUGUAUUUGUUAUAAUAUCAGUUCAUAGUAUUUUCACAUAUUCUGAUAAUUGCAUAAUUUAACCAAUAUUUUAGAAGCAAUUAAAACUAGAGAGAAAGAGUGGAAAACUUUGGAAUGCUUUGGUAUGAUUUCAUAAAGGUGACACAUGAUUUUUUAAAACUUUCUAGUUAACUGUAGGGGAAGCAGUGUUAAAACCUUGUAAGUAAGUAAUCUGAAAAAAAAAAAAAAACCUACAAAUGUAACUAAAAUCCAGGUUAUCUCCUAAGUAUCUGAGUUAUUUUUCUAAUUAGAAAAUUGAUCACUGCUGGCAAGAUGGCUGAAUAGGAAGAGCUCCAGUGUGCAACUCCCAGCAAGAGCGAUGCAGAAGAAAGAUAGAACAUGUUCUGCUGGCUUAGCAACUAUUGAGAGUUUGUGCAUAGGGAAAAAUAUCACACACACACAGACACACACACACACACACUCACAAAGAUAAUUUUCAUCACUGAAACUGCACAUUUAUAGAUGGGAAGGUAAGGAGAUGUGGGGCAGGGGACUAAAAUCCAGGCCUGAUGCUUGUUUCCUUUUGUGUUCUCCAAAGACAAAGACAUUGUUUUGACUAAGAAUAAAUAAAUGAAAGGCAGGGAGUAGUGUGACAUAUUUGGGAGUUUUCUUUAAAUGCGAGUUUGCCGUCCCCAGCUGUCAGGAAUGGUAUUAAUCUGGUGAAAGAACUCUUCAUGCUAUGGCUAUUUACUUAACAUUGCUAUUUACAAACAUCAUCAUGGAGCUGCCAGAUAGAGGAAGGCAGAUUCACAGACUACCUAGUGGCAGCAAUUUCCAGGGAAGAUCAUAUGUGUUCUGUCAAAAUAUAUUCCCUUACCAGAGCUUUUGGAGACUCAAGCUAGUCAAAACUAAUUGGGAAAUAUUUAGUAGGACAAGAAAUUGAAAAUAACCAUUUUGAUAGGACAUUCUUGAAAGAAUGGGUUAUAGUCUGUAUUUAAGAGUGUGCUAUUUUAGUUGGAAUUUCACAUCUCAUAGCCCAAGUCCUUUCAUUAAGCACAUCCCUAUAAGUCUUACCCUUUAUGCAUAAAACUUUAUUUUGUUUACUUAUUCACUACUAUGUGUUCUACAGCAAAAAAAAAGUUAUUAACACGAGUGCAAAACUUGUUAAUGUGCCACAGGGAUAAAUUAUGGUAAAUUCUUUGUAAAAGGAUAAAAGUGAUAUAAUGUAGGGUUAAGGAUGUUCCACUGAGAGACAGGAAACCUGCUUUCCUCUCUUGAUUAAUCUGUUGGGCAACCACUGGAAAUUAUAAACAUCCCUGCACUCAAAGGUUCUUAUUUGUAGAAUGAUGAAAUUGGAUGAGAUCUUGCCUAGUGUACCUUAUAUUCUCUAGUGUAUCAUUAUAUUCCAGCAAUUACGACAAAACUUCUACAUUGUAACCACAAUGAUGAGCAUUAUUCUGUUUCAUCCAAAUAAACGGCAUUGUCCUGGUUGAUUCUCAUCACACCCUUGCAAGGUAGGUAUCAUCAUCCCUAUGUCACUAAGAGCCAAGGCUUUGAGAGAAUAAAGAGAGUGCUAAACACAGUCUGCAAGUUGCUGGGCAGGUCCUCUGUAUUCUAAUUAGUGUAUAUGCUCUUCACCUGGACCAAAACUUUAUUGAUGGGCACAGCUAUGUGUUGUUAUCAAAGUUGUCCCUCUAGAAUGCUGGAUUUCAAAUACCUAAGAGAUGGGCAAACUGUAUGAAUAUAUCUAGGUGUUGGAGUACAAGUUGAUUGUCAGCCAUUUCCCUGAGCUCCCAGACCUUUUUAGUUGUUGCCUUACACACACUCCCUCACCAACAAAUGAUCCAUUCAGCAACUAAGGGAGAAUGGUUAACACAAUCUUCUAGGACUUUAUCCAGCUUUAGGUCCAGUCUUUAUAAACAGUCAUGGUGCCACUUUCCAAAUGCAAUAACAGACAUAUAUACAGGGAGUCUCAUCCAUAAGGCAGGCUGAGAAAAGAUGCAGCCAGUGUCCACACAGCCCUUUCACAGUUUUAUUGCCAAUGAAAAAAGUAAAUGUGGCACAGCAGGGCUAUAGACAACAGCAUUUUCUGGCUUAAACGUCUGUAGAGUAAGCUCUUUAUGAAUUGCUUCUUGAGAUUUAACAUUCUCAAGAUUUAACAUUCUUCUUGAUUUCUACUCGGGUCUCUGAGAUCAGAGACAUUAUGAUGGUGUUAAGCUCCUGGGAAGAAGAAUUUGGCAGAGCAGUGGGCUGUUUCUAAGUUCCUGACUUAGUCUUUCUAAAAAUGACAAAGGAUUACCAUAUAUGGUCAGUGGCGAAAUGGCCAAAUGGUCUCUGAUAGGCUUUCUCUAAUGGCCCGUAAAAGUCACUUGAUGGUUGUUGCUACAAAGGCAAAUAUUUUCUUAACUUAUAACUAAGGCCUAUAUUCCAAUGACUGGUGCCUACUGCCUAAUUCAGGGAGCUCUAAUGCAGCCUUUGAACAUAACAGCUCCACAGGUUAAAUGAAAACUGAUUUCUCUACAAGUCCAUCUUGAACUAAACUGUUCCCCUUCCUUAUUCAAGUUAGAAUCAGUGUUGCAGUUUGGUGGUCUUAUAAAAAAAGUAAAUUGUGCUUUAUGUUUUUUCUGUGUUAAGUGAGAAGUACCUUGACAUUUCUGUCAGCUUUCUUUCAAACACGAUAUUGCUUCAGAUUUUGUAUAUGUACAAACAGAUUCGUCCACAUGGGUCUUAGUGAGUGUGUUUGUUUUUCAGUUGCUUGUAGUAGCUGAGCAUAAGUGGAUAUACUGUAUUUUCUCUGUAAACUAUCUAAGGGAGAUCUCUCUGAAGAAUGGCACUGGGUAUUUCUGUGGGUAGCGGCAGAUUCCUGAAAGAAAGAACUUUGAUUUUAUAUAAGAAAUCUGUUCCCUGAGAGCACAUUGCAGAUGAUUCUGCAUCCACUCACUGCUUAAUGAAUACAGACUGGCAGAAUUUCCUCAGGGACAGUUGGGCAUAACAAUUUGGCUGCUUCUAAAGCCCAUAUUUCUUUGUGACACUCUAAAGGAACAGUUGAACUUCAGUGAACCAGGGGCUUCAUUCUUCACUGUUCGGGCAGUUUCUCUAAAUUGUUUGGUACUGUCAAUUGAGUUGGAAAAGUACAUGCCUGACUGCUGGUGAGUUUUAUUGAACUGAGUGAUCCUGGCAUUUGUAUUAGGAUUUGGAAGUUGCAUGCUCCUUGUGAAGAUGAGUUUCAAAGUGCUCCUGUGCUACUUUUACAGUAUAGAUUCAGAAAACAUCUCCUGUUUUUAUUCUUUCUUAAUGCUCACUACCAUUUAUGAGUCAAGUGAUUCCUCUGAAAAAUAUUACUCAGUAAAUCUUCAUAUUUUUAAAGCUUUUUCACUGGACAAUUGUCAAAAAUCUGCAAAAUGAUGAAAUCACCCCAACAUUUGACAACUCAGAGGUUCUAGUUAUGUUCUUGGAAUUCAACAACCAGAAAGACUGUGUCUCUUUUUGCUAGAUGGACCCUUUCAGAAUCGAUUGAGAUCACCAUAUCCUUACUUUGUUAUAUAAGGGAAAUUUGACUACUAUAGACUAUGAGCAUGAUGUAUAAACCAUCAUGAAAAUAGACACUGAAGCCAAAAUUCUGAUGCCAAUUUAAGUUGAUUUACUCUUUCUUCAUAGAGCCCCUUCAAUUUUAAUCAUGUGAAUAAAGUUCAGAAAUAUUAACCACAAGUUAAGGUGGUAGCAUCUUUUUCAUGUUUCUUUUCAUGUCAAAACAGAUAUCAUGUCUAGGAGGCAAGAAUUCUCAUAUUUAACUGAGGAUUCUCAAUAAUACUAUAAUAUGUCACCCUCUACAAAGCAUUUCAAUAUGCAUUAUCUCCCUUGAUCUUUAUAACAAUGUUUCAAGCAAUAAAUUCUAUGGGAAUAUGAUUUUGUUUGGUAGAUUCAGUUCCAAAGUGCCCAAUGAAAGUUAGAAUUUGAGUUUAAUCUAGAGAGAGGAAGCAUAAACUCUGCAUAUGUAUUCUCUGUAGGAAGAUAGCAUCUCUCUACAUCCCAGGGGUGUAGCCCCAGAUACAAUUCAGGUAUUUAGAGUAUGCCUUGUCAUGCCCUUUUACCCUUACUCCUUAUGGACAUGCCAUGACUUUAUCUUUUACUACCAUGAUCACCACUCCCGGGGCCUCUUUUCAAAUGGCUCAACAAGAAGGCAGAGGGGGUAGGAUGGGGCACUACCUAAAUUUGGAGUCUAGAGACUUAAAUUCUAAGCCCAAUUUUGAGAUAGUUUGACGUCUGACUAACAUCAUCUGUUAAAUGACAAGGAAGGUGGAUGACAAGAUGAUCCUUUGAGUUUGGAUUAUUAUCCCAAAAAACACAAUCCCAGAUUCCAAAAUCCACAAUGUUAAAAUCCUGAAAGAUCGGUAUCCUUAAAGUCUAAAUUCCUAAAGUCUACAAUUCCUAACAUCUAAAAUCCUGAAAAAUCACAAUCACAAAUUGGUUGCACCAUGUUGGCCAGGCUGGUCUCACACUCCUGACCUCAAAUCCACACACCUUGGCCUUCUCUUACUGUCUUUAUGCUGAAGAAAAUGAAUUUCAGAUGAAUCCCCAAACCAUAAUGACAGAUUUGGAAUUAGGUGUAAUUAAGGUUUCUAAAAAUAAAUUUCAAGGUGUUUCCAAUAGUUUGUUUUUUUCCAUUCACCCCAAUGUAUUUGACAGAAAAUUAAGAUGAAUCAAUUGGCCAUGAGGUAAGGCAAUGAAGAAAACUUCAGUUUGAAAAUAGUUUGACAAUAACUGGGAAGACUUUUUAAAAAUAACAAUGGAAUUGGUAUAGUUGGGAUUGCAAAUUAAAACUUGGAAUUAAGAGAGAAGAUGGAGUGUAUGUAGAAGGGCUGUUAAAAAUGUAAAACUUGGUUGCAUUAUUUGUGGAGGCUCAAACUUGUGAAGGUUAAAUACCAUAAUUUUUCCAUUUGUUCUGCAUUUUGAUUCUGAAAAGAAAGCUGGCUUUGCCCAUUUCUUAUUUUAAAAACUUGUUGUAAAUCCAGUUGUCUAAUGGGAUCUAUAUGAAGUUAGCCAUGUCUGUAUGCCCUUCUCUCACAAAAUACCGUAUAACUAGUGUGCUUGUAGUAGUUAACUCCACUGUCUUUGUAAGCUAAUGAAAUUGUGAGUCACCCAUUUAUAUCUUAAUUUUUAAUCAUGUCAGUUCUUGAAUGGGUAUCUCCUUAGCCUGCUGAUUUCUUUUUCUUUCUAAAGAAAG